GUAGGAUAGGUGGGAGACUGUGAAGCUGCCGCGCCAGCGGUGGUGGAGUCGUCGUUGAAAUACCAUUCUGGUUUAAGCGGUCACCUUAACCUUGGCCCGUGAUCCGGGUUGGGGACAGUGCCUGGUGGGUAGUUUAACUGGGGCGGUUGCCUCCUAAAAUGUAACGGAGGCGCUCAAAGGUUCCCUCAGCCUGGUUGGUAAUCAGGUGGCGAGUGCAAGUGUACAAGGGAGCUUGACUGUGAGACCGACGGGUCGAGCAGGUGCGAAAGCAGGAACUAGUGAUCCGGCCAUGGCACGUGGGUGCGUGGUCGCUCAACGGAUAAAAGGUACCCCGGGGAUAACAGGCUGAUCUUGCCCAAGAGUCCAUAUCGACGGCAUGGUUUGGCACCUCGAUGUCGGCUCGUCGCAUCCUGGGGCUGGAGUUGGUCCCAAGGGUUGGGCUGUUCGCCCAUUAAAGCGGUACGCGAGCUGGGUUCAGAACGUCGUGAGACAGUUCGGUCCCUAUCCUCUGUGCGCGCAGGAAA
Molecule: ribosomal RNA, 524 nt
Filed under: Bacteroidota bacterium
Lineage: Bacteria; Pseudomonadati; Bacteroidota
Description: Bacteroidetes bacterium (human oral metagenome) partial 23S ribosomal RNA
Rfam family: Bacterial large subunit ribosomal RNA
Source: RNAcentral